This 503-nucleotide ribosomal RNA is filed under the name uncultured bacterium. RNAcentral describes it as "partial 16S ribosomal RNA". It matches the Rfam family "Bacterial small subunit ribosomal RNA", at positions 30 to 523 of the family's 1533-position model. The record is from RNAcentral.
AUUGAACGCUGGCGGCAGGCUUAACACAUGCAAGUCGAGCGGGGUGAUGGUGCUUGCACUAUCACUUAGCGGCGGACGGGUGAGUAAUGCUUAGGAAUCUGCCUAUUAGUGGGGGACAACAUCUCGAAAGGGAUGCUAAUACCGCAUACGUCCUACGGGGGAAAGCAGGGGAUCACUUGUGACCUUGCGCUAAUAGAUGAGCCUAAGUCGGAUUAGCUAGUUGGUGGGGUAAAGGCCUACCAAGGCGACGAUCUGUAGCGGGUCUGAGAGGAUGAUCCGCCACACUGGGACUGAGACACGGCCCAGACUCCUACGGGAGGCAGCAGUGGGGAAUAUUGGACAAUGGGGGGAACCCUGAUCCAGCCAUGCCGCGUGUGUGAAGAAGGCCUUAUGGUUGUAAAGCACUUUAAGCGAGGAGGAGGCUCUUUUGGUUAAUACCCAGAAUGAGUGGACGUUACUCGCAGAAUAAGCACCGGCUAACUCUGUGCCAGCCGCCGCAGUAA